GACGGGGCCGCACAAGCGGUGGAGCAUGUGGUUAAUUCGAAGCAACGCGAAGAACCUUACCAGGUCUUGACAUCCCGAUGCUAUUUCUAGAGAUAGAAAGUUACUUCGGUACAUCGGUGACAGGUGGUGCAUGGUUGUCGUCAGCUCGUGUCGUGAGAUGUUGGGUUAAGUCCCGCAACGAGCGCAACCCCUAUUGUUAGUUGCCAUCAUUCAGUUGGGCACUCUAGCGAGACUGCCGGUAAUAAACCGGAGGAAGGUGGGGAUGACGUCAAAUCAUCAUGCCCCUUAUGACCUGGGCUACACACGUGCUACAAUGGUUGGUACAACGAGUUGCGAGUCGGUGACGGCGAGCUAAUCUCUUAAAGCCAAUCUCAGUUCGGAUUGUAGGCUGCAACUCGCCUACAUGAAGUCGGAAUCGCUAGUAAUCGCGGAUCAGCACGCCGCGGUGAAUACGUUCCCGGGCCUU
This 466-nucleotide ribosomal RNA is filed under the name uncultured Streptococcus sp. RNAcentral's name for it is "bacterial SSU rRNA". It matches the Rfam family "Bacterial small subunit ribosomal RNA", at positions 917 to 1381 of the family's 1533-position model. The record is from RNAcentral. Lineage: Bacteria; Bacillati; Bacillota; Bacilli; Lactobacillales; Streptococcaceae.